CCAGACGGCCGGAUGGCCGCUCUCCGCCUUCGGGGGAGGGAGGAAAGUCCGGGCUCCACGGAGGUACGGUGCCGGGUAACGCCCGGCGGGGGCGACCCCAGGGAAAGUGCCACAGAAAGUACACCGCCGGUCCGUGUCGGAACACCGGGCGCCCGGCAAGGGUGAAACGGUGCGGUAAGAGCGCACCGCGCCGCCGGCAACGGCGGCGGCAGGGAAAACCCCACCGGGAGCAAGACCAAGUAGGAGCGGCAGGCAUCCCGCUCGCGGGAAUGCCGGGCGGACCUUCGCGCCGCCGCUCGGGUCGGUCGCACGAGACGCUCGGCGACGGGCGUCCCAGAGGAAUGGCCAUCCCCACUCCGAGGACCAGCUCCUCAGGGCGGGACAGAACCCGGCUUACACGCCGUCUGGCGCU
RNAcentral lists this RNase P RNA (412 nucleotides) under Alphaproteobacteria bacterium. Its description in RNAcentral is "RNase P RNA component class A". It matches the Rfam family "Bacterial RNase P class A". From Rfam's summary of the family: Ribonuclease P (RNase P) is a ubiquitous endoribonuclease, found in archaea, bacteria and eukarya as well as chloroplasts and mitochondria. Its best characterised activity is the generation of mature 5'-ends of tRNAs by cleaving the 5'-leader elements of precursor-tRNAs. The record is from RNAcentral. Lineage: Bacteria; Pseudomonadati; Pseudomonadota; Alphaproteobacteria.